This 744-nucleotide long non-coding RNA is filed under the name Malus domestica (apple). RNAcentral describes it as "long non-coding RNA (MDOM_LNC012788)". Lineage: Eukaryota; Viridiplantae; Streptophyta; Magnoliopsida; Rosales; Rosaceae. The record is from RNAcentral.
AAAAUCUGUGCAUUCUUGUUUUCUAAAGUCGUUGCAUGAUCUCAUUAUUCUUUGCUUGAUUAUUACUUAGAAGGCGUUUCAUCAUUUAGUUCCAAAUGCUAGAACUCAUGCCUAAUUUAUUCAAAGCAUGCUAUUGAUUUGCAUAAAACAUAUUCAAGAUGAAGUUGUGUAGUUACCACCACCAAAGCCAAACUGCCAUGUGUCCCAUAUCGUUAUAUGUUUAAGUUAACCCCAUUGAGCCUUGAUAGCCUACAUUCUUUGUUAAACCACAUUAUCCUUACCUAGCCUAGUUUAGGACCAUCCAUACCCUUAUUCUUGAAGCAUAGUAAAGCAUGAUUCAAAUUGAAUUUCUUUUGAUUAAUGUAUGGCAGAAAACAAGUGUGGGGGAAGUGUGAGUUAUUAUGCUUGUUGAAAAGAAAAGAAGAGUUGAGAAAAAAAAAAAAAAAAAAAAAAAAAAAAGGAGUUGAAAAAUAUGCGAAAAAGAGUUUUUGUAAUCUUACAAUGUGAUUUGCCUAAGAGCAAAUGAACGAGAGAUAGAACUCAAAGAAUGGGUUCUUUGAGAGACAAGAAAGUAAUCAAUAAAUAUAACAACCUAGUUCCUAUACCAAAAGCUCCAAGGUAGUCGAGAAGGAUUUAUAAACCGUCUAAGUUGAAUGGUUUGAACUUUAUGACUAUGUCAUAGAGUUGCACCACUUAAUUCGAAAGAAAUAAGAAUGAAAAUCCUUAUGACUACAUUGAGUGUAU